GAUGAACGCUGACAGAAUGCUUAACACAUGCAAGUCAACUUGAAUUUGGGUUUUUAACUUAGGUUUGGGUGGCGGACGGGUGAGUAACGCGUAAAGAACUUGCCUCACAGCUAGGGACAACAUUUGGAAACGAAUGCUAAUACCUAAUAUUAUGAUAAUAGGGCAUCCUAUAAUUAUGAAAGCUAUAAGCGCUGUGAGAGAGCUUUGCGUCCCAUUAGCUAGUUGGAGAGGUAACGGCUCACCAAGGCGAUGAUGGGUAGCCGGCCUGAGAGGGUGAUCGGCCACAAGGGGACUGAGACACGGCCCUUACUCCUACGGGAGGCAGCAGUGGGGAAUAUUGGACAAUGGACCAAGAGUCUGAUCCAGCAAUUCUGUGUGCACGAUGAAGUUUUUCGGAAUGUAAAGUGCUUUCAGUUGGGAAGAAAGAAAUGACGGUACCAACAGAAGAAGUGACGGCUAAGUACGUG
Molecule: ribosomal RNA, 467 nt
Filed under: uncultured bacterium
Lineage: Bacteria
Description: partial 16S ribosomal RNA
Rfam family: Bacterial small subunit ribosomal RNA
Source: RNAcentral